UGAUGAAUAGAUGAAAACUCUGAUCAAAUCCGAAUAAAGGCAUUUUUUAAAUAGUAAAACUUGAUUCACUUAAAGUUCGCGUAGAGCGGAGAGCA
This is a long non-coding RNA of Thalassophryne amazonica, 95 nucleotides long. RefSeq lists it as uncharacterized. The transcript has 3 exons. The record is from RefSeq and is a predicted model, not a curated record. NCBI's taxonomy places the organism in Eukaryota, Metazoa, Chordata, Actinopteri, Batrachoidiformes, Batrachoididae.